GGUGAUGCUGAUAUUGGAGUGCAUCUGAGG
Molecule: non-coding RNA, 30 nt
Filed under: Callithrix jacchus (white-tufted-ear marmoset)
Lineage: Eukaryota; Metazoa; Chordata; Mammalia; Primates; Cebidae
Also listed under: 3 other names
Source: RNAcentral